UUUAUGGUAACAAUGACAUAAACUGAUUUAACUUUAAACGUGAGAACUCUUUUGCGAAAAAUCAUUUCGCAAAUAAUAGUAUAUAUCUCAUUUAUUAAUAGAGUACAUUAACUUGAUGUAAUUAUAAAAUUCAUAUAUUUUUAAAAUUAGUGUAGAUUAAUCGUUUUUGUGACAAAAAAAUAUAGAUUAAUCGUAUUUGGAUUUAUAUUAAAUAAAAUAAAAAUCAUACCUUAAUAUUUUUAUAUCG
This 247-nucleotide long non-coding RNA is filed under the name Brassica rapa (field mustard). RNAcentral's name for it is "long non-coding RNA (BRAP_LNC007880)". Lineage: Eukaryota; Viridiplantae; Streptophyta; Magnoliopsida; Brassicales; Brassicaceae. The record is from RNAcentral.